Molecule: long non-coding RNA, 209 nt
Filed under: Elaeis guineensis (African oil palm)
Lineage: Eukaryota; Viridiplantae; Streptophyta; Magnoliopsida; Arecales; Arecaceae
Description: long non-coding RNA (EGUI_LNC011545)
Source: RNAcentral
CAAAAGAAAAGUCCUUUUGCUUCUGUAAGGCAGAAGGUCAUUAACGAAGAGGUCGACAGCUCUUUGCAGCUGACUUCAUCAGAGAAGUCAAUUAUCCUGAUUAGCUCGUCAAUAUAGUGAUGGUGAGAAAAGCUAAUAAAAAAUAGAGAAUCUACAUCGACUCACAAAUCUAAAUGAAACUUGUCCGAAAAAUAAUUUUUCUUUACUAA